This 1563-nucleotide ribosomal RNA is filed under the name Triticum aestivum (bread wheat). Its description in RNAcentral is "partial small subunit ribosomal RNA". Lineage: Eukaryota; Viridiplantae; Streptophyta; Magnoliopsida; Poales; Poaceae. The record is from RNAcentral.
AUGGCAAGCAUAGCGCUCGUUCUCAUGGUUUGUUUCUUGGGUUUGUUCUUGCCCGCCCCCUCCCUUGCGUCGACCUCCAACUACACCGACUUCGUCCGCUGCAUCUCCACGAGCGUCCCCAGCCAGCUCGUGCAGACGCCGAACUCACCGUCGUUCAAGCAGCUCCUGGUGUCGUCCAUCAGGAACGCCAGGUUCGUGGCGCCGGCCACGGCGAGCCCACCGCUCUGCAUCGUGAUGCCCACCAACGCGUCCCACGUCCAGGCCGCCGUGCGCUGUGGGCGCCGCCACGGCGUGCGCGUCCGCGUCCGCAGCGGCGGGCACGACUACGAGGGCCUCUCCUACCGGUCAGUCUGCCCCAACAGCGAGGCGUUCGCGGUAAUCGACCUCGCCAAGCUCCACGCCGUCCGCGUCGACCCACGCAAGGCCACCGCGUGGGUCGACUCCGGGGCGGCGCUCGGGGAGCUCUACCACCACGUCGCCACGGCGGCUCCAGGGCUGGGCUUCCCGGCUGGCGUGUGCUCGACCGUGGGCGUGGGGGGCAUCUUGAGCGGCGGCGGCAUAGGCCUAAUGAUGCGCAAGUACGGCCUCUCCGCCGACAACGUUCUCGACGCCACCAUGGUCGACGCCUACGGGAAUCUGUUGGCGGACAAGAAGGCCAUGGGGGACGACCUCUUCUGGGCCAUCCGCGGCGGGGGCGGCGGCAAUUUCGGCAUCGUGCUGUCGUGGAAGGUGAGGCUCGUGCCAGUCCCACCGACGGUGACCUUCUUCAAACUCGCCAAGACCAUGGACCAGGGCGCCGUCAACGCGGUGACCAAAUGGCAAACGCUCGCGCCCGUGCUCCCGGACGACCUCACCGUACGUGUUAUCGUAGAAAAUCGUCAGGCCACCUUCGAAGCCCUGUACCUCGGCAAGUGCAACGCGGUGGUGCCGACGUUGCGCAGCCGAUUCCCGGAGCUCGGCGUGACGCACGCCGACUGCAAGGAGAUGAGCUGGCUGCAGUUCACGGCGUACAUAUACUUCGGCGACGCCACCAUCAACCGGUCCAUGGCCCUGGGUCCCUUCAUUAAGAACAAGUCCGACUACGUCGAGAAAGCCCUCACCAACGAGACGUGGGAGAAGAUCUUCCUCUGGCCCAACGACGCGGCGUCGGGGCAGCUCGUCCUGGAGCCGCACGGUGGAAGAAUGGGCCACAUCACCGCCAACGACACCCCGUUCCCGCACCGGAGCAGCGUGCUCUACAACAUCCAGUACGUGCAGCACUGGAACGGCAAAGGGGCGGGGGGCGACGCUACGCCUAAGCCGAACUGGAUCGGGAGCCUGUACGACUUCAUGGCGCCGUUCGUGAGCAAGAAUCCGAGGGCCGCGUACGUUAACUACCGGGACCUCGACAUUGGCAUGAACACGGUGGUCGGCGGAGUAACGAGCUACCAAAGUGGCAAGGUGUGGGGCGAGAGGUAUUUCGGUCCGGCAAACUUUAGGAGACUCGCAGAGGUCAAGCGCAGGGUGGACGCCGGCGACUACUUCCGGCACGAGCAGAGCGUGCCGCCACUUCCCUUGAACUAG